UAAUACCUGCCAAGUUGGUCCGCACUGGCCCCAACUGAUUGAUGGUGCUUGCCCCCUGAUUGAUGAUGGAUCACCAGUGAGUGGCGGACGGGGUGAGUAACACGUAGGUAACCUGCCCCGGAGCGGGGGAUAACAUUUGGAAACAGAUGCUAAUACCGCAUAACAACAAAAGCCACAUGGCUUUUGUUUGAAAGAUGGCUUUGGCUAUCACUCUGGGAUGGACCUGCGGUGCAUUAGCUAGUUGGUAAGGUAACGGCUUACCAAGGCGAUGAUGCAUAGCCGAGUUGAGAGACUGAUCGGCCACAAUGGAACUGAGACACGGUCCAUACUCCUACGGGAGGCAGCAGUAGGGAAUCUUCCACAAUGGGCGCAAGCCUGAUGGAGCAACACCGCGUGAGUGAAGAAGGGUUUCGGCUCGUAAAGCUCUGUUGUUGGAGAAGAACGUGCGUGAGAGUAACUGUUCACGCAGUGACGGUAUCCAACCAGAAAGUCACGGCUAACUACGUGCCAGCAGCCGCGGUAAUACGUAGGUGGCAAGCGUUAUCCGGAUUUAUUGGGCGUAAAGCGAGCGCAGGCGGUUGCUUAGGUCUGAUGUGAAAGCCUUCGGCUUAACCGAAGAAGUGCAUCGGAAACCGGGCGACUUGAGUGCAGAAGAGGACAGUGGAACUCCAUGUGUAGCGGUGGAAUGCGUAGAUAUAUGGAAGAACACCAGUGGCGAAGGCGGCUGUCUGGUCUGCAACUGACGCUGAGGCUCGAAAGCAUGGGUAGCGAACAGGAUUAGAUACCCUGGUAGUCCAUGCCGUAAACGAUGAGUGCUAGGUGUUGGAGGGUUUCCGCCCUUCAGUGCCGGAGCUAACGCAU
RNAcentral lists this ribosomal RNA (861 nucleotides) under uncultured bacterium. RNAcentral describes it as "bacterial SSU rRNA". It matches the Rfam family "Bacterial small subunit ribosomal RNA", at positions 49 to 860 of the family's 1533-position model. The record is from RNAcentral.